RNAcentral lists this ribosomal RNA (465 nucleotides) under Vreelandella stevensii. RNAcentral's name for it is "partial 16S ribosomal RNA". It matches the Rfam family "Bacterial small subunit ribosomal RNA", at positions 338 to 795 of the family's 1533-position model. The record is from RNAcentral. Lineage: Bacteria; Pseudomonadati; Pseudomonadota; Gammaproteobacteria; Oceanospirillales; Halomonadaceae.
CCUACGGGUGGCAGCAGUGGGGAAUAUUGGACAAUGGGCGAAAGCCUGAUCCAGCCAUGCCGCGUGUGUGAAGAAGGCCUUCGGGUUGUAAAGCACUUUCAGUGGGGAAGAAAGCCUUGGGGCUAAUACCCUCGAGGAAGGACAUCACUCACAGAAGAAGCACCGGCUAACUCCGUGCCAGCAGCCGCGGUAAUACGGAGGGUGCGAGCGUUAAUCGGAAUUACUGGGCGUAAAGCGCGCGUAGGCGGUCUGAUAAGCCGGUUGUGAAAGCCCCGGGCUCAACCUGGGAACGGCAUCCGGAACUGUCAGGCUAGAGUGCAGGAGAGGAAGGUAGAAUUCCCGGUGUAGCGGUGAAAUGCGUAGAGAUCGGGAGGAAUACCAGUGGCGAAGGCGGCCUUCUGGACUGACACUGACGCUGAGGUGCGAAAGCGUGGGUAGCAAACAGGAUUAGAUACCCCUGUAGUC